GUUUUUAAAAUCUACGACGUGUCCUUUGCCAUCAGUCAGCAUACCAUCAUCAAGGAGUUGGCUAAAAACCUUGAAUAUUGAGGGAUCUGCCUUAUCCACCUGGUCGAAAAGGACAAUGCUGUAUGGGCACCUCUUGACUUUCUCGGAAGCCAGGAAGCGUGGGAGAAUCAAACCUUCGAGGUCCCCCAAUGAGGCGCGACACAGACCCACUCUCAGCAUAUUCCGACAUAUCAAAGCGGAUCAACGCCUUCUCAUUGUCAAAUAUCCUCUCGGCGAGAGCUUUUGCUAGUUCUGUUUUUCCAACACCAAGCGGUCCCAAAAAGAGGAAUGAACCUAUCGGUCGGCUAGAUCGACCAAAACCAACCCUAGAACGUAGCACCGCUUGCGCAACCAAAUUGACCGCUUCAUCCUGACCGACGACUCGCUCAUGCAAUUUUUC
RNAcentral lists this ribosomal RNA (439 nucleotides) under Triticum aestivum (bread wheat). RNAcentral describes it as "partial small subunit ribosomal RNA". Lineage: Eukaryota; Viridiplantae; Streptophyta; Magnoliopsida; Poales; Poaceae. The record is from RNAcentral.